This 83-nucleotide microRNA precursor is filed under the name Solanum tuberosum (potato). Its description in RNAcentral is "MIR8024 microRNA precursor family". It matches the Rfam family "MIR8024 microRNA precursor family". Lineage: Eukaryota; Viridiplantae; Streptophyta; Magnoliopsida; Solanales; Solanaceae. The record is from Rfam by way of RNAcentral.
UUUAAAAUUUUGAAGACUUCAACUUACAGACUUGAAGAAUUUGAAGACUUCAGUUUGUAUACUAGGCUGGAUUUAAAGAAACU